AUGCACGCGGGGGGGGGGCCGAAUACAUGCAAGUCGAGCGAACAGACGAGGAGCUUGCUCCUCUGACGUUAGCGGCGGACGGGUGAGUAACACGUGGAUAACCUACCUAUAAGACUGGGAUAACUUCGGGAAACCGGAGCUAAUACCGGAUAAUAUAUUGAACCGCAUGGUUCAAUAGUGAAAGACGGUUUUGCUGUCACUUAUAGAUGGAUCCGCGCCGCAUUAGCUAGUUGGUAAGGUAACGGCUUACCAAGGCGACGAUGCGUAGCCGACCUGAGAGGGUGAUCGGCCACACUGGAACUGAGACACGGUCCAGACUCCUACGGGAGGCAGCAGUAGGGAAUCUUCCGCAAUGGGCGAAAGCCUGACGGAGCAACGCCGCGUGAGUGAUGAAGGUCUUCUGAUCGUAAAACUCUGUUAUUAGGGAAGAACAAAUGUGUAAGUAACUAUGCACGUCUUGACGGUACCUAAUCAGAAAGCCACGGCUAACUACGUG
RNAcentral lists this ribosomal RNA (496 nucleotides) under uncultured bacterium. RNAcentral describes it as "partial 16S ribosomal RNA". It matches the Rfam family "Bacterial small subunit ribosomal RNA", at positions 29 to 507 of the family's 1533-position model. The record is from RNAcentral.